Mesoplodon densirostris (Blainville's beaked whale) is the source of this 71-nucleotide small nucleolar RNA. RefSeq annotates it as small nucleolar RNA SNORD113/SNORD114 family. NCBI's taxonomy places the organism in Eukaryota, Metazoa, Chordata, Mammalia, Artiodactyla, Ziphiidae. The transcript has a single exon. The record is from RefSeq and is a predicted model, not a curated record.
UGGUCUGAUGAUGACUAUCCGUGGCCUAUGGGUUGUGUAUGAUGAAUAUGUGUCUGGAGCUCUGAUGCAAA